This 937-nucleotide ribosomal RNA is filed under the name Morlockia emersoni. Its description in RNAcentral is "LSU rRNA". The stretch from base 505 to 683 matches the Rfam family "Archaeal large subunit ribosomal RNA", at positions 1886 to 2093 of the family's 2987-position model. The record is from RNAcentral. Lineage: Eukaryota; Metazoa; Arthropoda; Remipedia; Nectiopoda; Morlockiidae.
CCCGAAAUAAUAAGAGUUAGAAUGUUAUAAUGGUUGUUCGUUGAAUUGAGCUCCUUAAUAUUAUUCUAGUAGUGAAAUGUUAUUCGUUUAUUAUGAUAUCUGGUUCCUCAGGAAGUGAAUGUAGUUCUGGUCUGAUUUAUUAUGAGUGAUGAUAAAUAAUUAUUGUUGAUUUUAAUUUUAGGGAUGACUUAKUUAAAUAGGGAUGAGCUUGUUUAAUUGGUUUAUAAUUUUAAUAAAUGGGUAUAUAUUAAUUUUUAGGCUUUGAAUCUGUCACAGUUAUUUAUAGUUCGUUGUAGAAAGUUGGUUAUAUAGAUUUGCGAUUUAGUUAUUUAAAAUAGGAUUUAGUUAAUAUACUGGGGUGAUUGGUUUAAUUUUGUUUUAAAAUGAAAAAAUUCCUUAAUUAGUAGAGUUUAUAUAUGUCAGAAGAAAAAUUUGUUUAAAGAUUUUGACGGGUAAUUGUGAGAAGUUUAGUUUUGAAUUAAGUUAAAGGAAUUAGGCAAAAAUGAUAUCUGCCUGUUUAAUAAAAACAUGGCUUCUUGUUAUAGGUUUAUUAAAUAUAAGAAGUCUAACCUGCCCUCUGAUAUUUAGUAAUUGAAGGGCUUGCAGUAUACUUGACUGUACAAAGGUAGCAUAAUAUUUUGCCUAUUAAAUGUUGGCUUGUAUGAAUGGUUUGACAAGAUAUUGACUGUCUCUGAUUUAUUGACUUUAAAUUCACUUUCCUAAGUGAAGAGGCUGGAAUGUAUUUGAGGGACGAGAAGACCCUAUAGAUUUUUAUUAAUUGUUUGUUUAAUAUAAAUUUAUGUUUUUAAUUUUAUUUUUAUAAUUAAUUUUACUGGGGCGGUAUUUGAAGAUCCGGAUCUUCAAAUUUUAGUGAUAUUUCAUUUGUGGGUGUAUUGAUCCUUUAUUAUGGAUAAGAAGAAAAAUACCUUAGGGAUAA